Long non-coding RNA from Myripristis murdjan (pinecone soldierfish), 635 nucleotides. RefSeq lists it as uncharacterized. The transcript is spliced from 4 exons. Lineage: Eukaryota; Metazoa; Chordata; Actinopteri; Holocentriformes; Holocentridae. The record is from RefSeq and is a predicted model, not a curated record.
ACACGACUCACGUAUCUCUCACCUCGGUCAGCAGCAGUUUUGAGAAAUCACAGAAACAACAGUUCAAAUCACACAAAAAUGACAGACGACAGCGCAUUCAAGUGGUCAGAUGAACACACUGAAAUGCUUGUUCGGUGGAGGACAGAAAACGACAGUCUCUUCACUGGCAAGAGAAAUGCGGCUAUAAAAGGGUUUGAGAUGUUUGUUGCAGCAAAAGAUCUGCAGUGAAAGGUGCAGCCUGCUUGGGUAAAAAAAAAAUGGGAGAACCUCAAACAGAAGUACAAGAGCUGGAAUACAGUGGAGAGGGGCAGAAACUGCUGCAGCCAGGAGAUCCCUUACACCCUCACCAGGCUCCAGAGCCCCGGAUCCUGGCUCUGGGCCAUCGUCUCCUGCUUCGUCCUCCUCAGGCUCCAUCAUGUCUCCGUUGUCCACACACAGGUUAUGCAGGAUGGUGCAGCAGGUGAUGACAACUGGGGCAAAGGUGGGGCUCACUUCCAGGGAUUUAAAGAAAAUUGAGCGCCAUCGGGCCUUCAUCAUGCCAAAUGUGCGCUCGAUGAUGUUCCUGGCCCUGGACAGCAUGCUGUUGUACCUGGUCUGCACAGGAUUCAGGUUCGGUGCACGGUACAGUGUCAUUA